Molecule: long non-coding RNA, 1598 nt
Filed under: Coturnix japonica (Japanese quail)
Lineage: Eukaryota; Metazoa; Chordata; Aves; Galliformes; Phasianidae
Description: lncRNA (ENSCJPG00005018053.1)
Source: RNAcentral
AGACUACUGGGUUAGCUUAAAUAUUUAAGAUAAGUGAAGACUAAGCUGUCAUUAAUGUCUUAACAAUUUUUGACACCACGAAAUUAAAGAACGGAUACAUUCUUUCCACACACUCAGAACAUCAGCUUGCAAGAAAUGAUGAAGCUUAGUGUAGAAUCAUGGACAACCACUGAACUCAGGUAGUCACCAGCAAAACACAGGAAACCACCACAGCUUUGCCAGCUGGCUUGGGACUUUUCAUUCCCUUCACCUUGGAGAGAAGAGUGUGCUCUGAUAUGAAUGAAGAUACAGGAUCAUUGUGGUCUGUUUUCCCCAUUCUUUGAGCCACCCCAAUGCAGGUACCAAGAGAAGAAACCUUUCUCUCUGCCCUUGAAAGAGUAAUAGGUAAAAUUGGACCUAUUGAAAUAUCAGACUUUGUCUUGUGGAUGGAUCGCUGCCAUCGGUGCAGGGUGAAUGGAAGAAAUAUCCUCCAAACAAAGGAUUUCGUAGGAUGCAAAUAUACAGUGGGACGGUGGCCUUUGACUGGCAUACUCCAAGAGACACUGCUUCUGUUAUCUCUAGUCCAAGAAAUUGUGAUGUCCAGUUUUGAACACUGAACUGCAGCUCAAGUAUUUCUCUCACUGUGUGAAUAGGAGGUGCUUGAGCUCCCAGUUAAAGCAGCUUUCCUCUACCUGGCAGCUACAAAAGCCUGGAGAUACUGCUGUUGCCUUGUGCAAUCAUAUAAGUGCUUCUAAUUAGAAGAAGAGUUUCUUUUCCCCACUUGGAAGAUCAAGGCUAGACUUCUUUAUUACUUUUAAUUUGUUGAGAAAAGGCAUGUAGCAUCAUCUGGAUGAAACUGACCAUCUUCUGUACAAUUAAAUUGGUCGAAAAUUAAAGGUCUGAAACCAGAAGCCUAGACUGAAAAUCAGUGCUGCGGGAUAUGCUGGAGACACAGGAUGGCUACAGCAGAGAUUAAUAUUUGUAAAUGAAGAACUGUAGAAGAGACUUAACUGUUGGUAGUCCGAGAAAAAGACUGAGUAACAGUUAAAGGGAAAUUAUCAGAUAUGACUCUUUAAGCAUAGCCAAAUGAAGAAAUACUGAUUUCAUUAAAUGGGAAACCUCGGAAGUACCUGCAUGCCCUACUACAGCCCGUCAUGUAAAGUUUAUGUGGAAACCUAUAUGGUAGAAUGCAGAAUCAGUUCUGAGUUGCUUUCUGUCAUGUUUUUCAUAUCUUUGAUUGCUCUAAUUCUUGUUCUAAAACUCAAACAAAAAACCAUUAUCAGUUAUCUUGUAGAAAAGUGCUCCUCUUGCCACGCAAAGAUGUUUUAUGAUUAUGUAUUGCACAUCUCUCACAUUCAUUUAGCGCAGUAAACAAUACAAAGACAGCUUGUAGGAAAUGAAUCCUCUCUGCAUUAUCUUAUUAUCAGAAGCUGCAUGUGUUUCCUCUAGCAGAAAGAGUGCAGGAAUUAUUACGUUUAUACAUUGAAUUAUAAUAUUAAAUCACCACACAAGAGGCGAAUAAUUGGCCUCCUCGAGCCCUCCCCCCCCCCAUUUCCAGGUUCUGUGUUUAGAUUUCAGUAUUCAAUAAACUAGUGAAUUUCUCCGCUAAAAGCUGAAUG